This 368-nucleotide ribosomal RNA is filed under the name uncultured organism. Its description in RNAcentral is "bacterial LSU rRNA". It matches the Rfam family "Bacterial large subunit ribosomal RNA", at positions 2099 to 2465 of the family's 2925-position model. The record is from RNAcentral.
CUUUACUGUAGCCUGGAAUUGGGUUCGGGCUUUAACUGCGCAGGAUAGGUGGGAGGCUAUGAUUCAAUCCUUGUGGGGAUUGAGGAGCCAACGGUGAGAUACCACUCUGUUAAGGCUUGAAUUCUAACCUUCACCCGUAAUCCGGGGAGGGAACAGUUUCAGGUGGGCAGUUUGACUGGGGCGGUCGCCUCCUAAAUGGUAACGGAGGCGCGCAAAGGUUCUCUCAGGCUGGUUGGAAAUCAGCCGUAGAGUGUAAAAGCACAAGAGAGCUUGACUGUGAGACGAACAUGUCGAGCAGGGACGAAAGUCGGCUUUAGUGAUCCGACGGUAUGCGCGUGGAAGUGCCGUCGCUCAACGGAUAAAAGUUA